Molecule: ribosomal RNA, 976 nt
Filed under: uncultured Ascomycota
Lineage: Eukaryota; Fungi; Ascomycota
Description: eukaryotic LSU rRNA
Rfam family: Eukaryotic large subunit ribosomal RNA
Source: RNAcentral
CUCUUGACCUCGGAUCAGGUAGGGAUACCCGCUGAACUUAAGCAUAUCAAUAAGCGGAGGAAAAGAAACCAACAGGGAUUGCCCUAGUAACGGCGAGUGAAGCGGCAACAGCUCAAAUUUGAAAUCUGGCGUCUUCGGCGUCCGAGUUGUAAUUUGCAGAGGGCGCUUUGGCAUUGGCAGCGGUCCAAGUUCCUUGGAACAGGACGUCACAGAGGGUGAGAAUCCCGUACGUGGUCGCUAGCCUUUACCGUGUAAAGCCCCUUCGACGAGUCGAGUUGUUUGGGAAUGCAGCUCUAAAUGGGAGGUAAAUUUCUUCUAAAGCUAAAUACUGGCCAGAGACCGAUAGCGCACAAGUAGAGUGAUCGAAAGAUGAAAAGCACUUUGGAAAGAGAGUUAAAAAGCACGUGAAAUUGUUGAAAGGGAAGCGCUUGCAGCCAGACUUGCCUGUAGUUGCUCAUCCGGGUUUUUACCCGGUGCACUCUUCUACGGGCAGGCCAGCAUCAGUUUGGGCGGUUGGAUAAAGGUCUCUGUCAUGUACCUCCUCUCGGGGAGAACUUAUAGGGGAGACGACAUGCAACCAGCCCGGACUGAGGUCCGCGCAUCUGCUAGGAUGCUGGCGUAAUGGCUGUAAGCGGCCCGUCUUGAAACACGGACCAAGGAGUCUAACAUCUAUGCGAGUGUUUGGGUGUCAAGCCCGAGCGCGUAAUGAAAGUGAACGGAGGUGGGAACCUUUCGGGGUGCACCAUCGACCGAUCCUGAUGUCUUCGGAUGGAUUUGAGUAAGAGCAUAGCUGUUGGGACCCGAAAGAUGGUGAACUAUGCUUGAAUAGGGUGAAGCCAGAGGAAACUCUGGUGGAGGCUCGCAGCGGUUCUGACGUGCAAAUCGAUCGUCAAAUUUGGGCAUAGGGGCGAAAGACUAAUCGAACUAUCUAGUAGCUGGUUCCUGCCGAAGUUUCCCUCAGGAUAGCAGUAACGUU